AUCUUUUCAGUUAUAAGCAUAAUGACUGAACAUUCACACUGCUCUGAGAACUGUGCCUCCCGUUAAACCUUGUUAUGACACAUGCACAUUACCUAAUGUUAAA
Small nucleolar RNA from Sciurus vulgaris (Eurasian red squirrel), 103 nucleotides. The record is from Ensembl. NCBI's taxonomy places the organism in Eukaryota, Metazoa, Chordata, Mammalia, Rodentia, Sciuridae.